UAGAUAGUAGGCGGGGUAACGGCCCACCUAGUCUUCGAUGGAUAGGGGUUCUGAGAGGAAGGUCCCCCACAUUGGAACUGAGACACGGUCCAAACUCCUACGGGAGGCAGCAGUGAGGAAUAUUGGUCAAUGGACGAGAGUCUGAACCAGCCAAGUAGCGUGAAGGAUGAAGGUUCUAUGGAUUGUAAACUUCUUUUAUACGGGAAUAAACGAAUCCACGCGUGGAUUUUUGCAUGUACCGUAUGAAUAAGGAUCGGCUAACUCCGUGCCAGCAGCCGCGGUAAUACGGAGGAUCCGAGCGUUAUCCGGAUUUAUUGGGUUUAAAGGGAGCGUAGAUGGGUUGUUAAGUCAGUUGUGAAAGUUUGCGGCUCAACCGUAAAAUUGCAAUUGAUACUGGCAGUCUUGAGUACAGUUGAGGUAGGCGGAAUUCGUGGUGUAGCGGUGAAAUGCUUAGAUAUCACGAAGAACUCCGAUUGCGAAGGCAGCUUACUAACCUGUAACUGACAUUGAUGCUCGAAAGUGUGGGUAUCAA
This 532-nucleotide ribosomal RNA is filed under the name uncultured bacterium. RNAcentral describes it as "bacterial SSU rRNA". It matches the Rfam family "Bacterial small subunit ribosomal RNA", at positions 242 to 771 of the family's 1533-position model. The record is from RNAcentral.